Molecule: long non-coding RNA, 971 nt
Filed under: Salvia miltiorrhiza (redroot sage)
Lineage: Eukaryota; Viridiplantae; Streptophyta; Magnoliopsida; Lamiales; Lamiaceae
Description: long non-coding RNA (SMIL_LNC013801)
Source: RNAcentral
CGCGAUUUUCAUCAAUUUCUUCGUUACUUAUAUGUUUUUAAGAUUACAUUCAAAUUGAAUUCAACUUUUCCUCAAAUUUCUCUUCAUUUAGAAUCUCAAUCUCUCAAGAGGUGAUUAUUUCUUUGAAUAAAAAUUAACCUUAAUCUUCAAAAAUGCAAACUGCAAUAUCUUUUCAUUGCUCGCCGGAAGUGGAAGGCCUGGGAGAAUCACUUCGGCAACCAGAAGAAGAAACAUGAUGGAGGCGGCGACGAUCAACCGCGAAGAACCGACUAGAGAUGAGAGAAAUAGGAGAGAGAGAGGAAAAAGGCGAGAGGAGAGAGAGAGAGAAGAGAAAGAGAGGAGAGAUGUUUUUGUAGCAAGUUUUCUGAAAUUUUGAAGAAAUCUCCAGCAUACAGCCAUCUUCAAUAGGAGAGUUCUCUUGCAAAAAAACUUGCAACCACUAUGCCAGUCAGAAUGCCGAGCAAAUCAGGCAACAAUGCUGGGACAGGCCCUCCAAAAGACAUCAACUCCUCCAUGGUUAAUUUUAAAAUAGUUCCCUCCAACCAGAUCCCGAUCUGAGGCAAUUUUUCAUGUGUGCAAUAUGCAUUUGACCAGGAACCGUCAAGCAAUUAACGAAAAAAGGCGAGGAUGAAUCCGAUCACCACCACCGCUGCGAGCCGCACGCCGAAGAGAUCUAGCAUCAGCCGCAAAUGGAGCUACCGGCAUCGAAUUUCCACUCUGCAUCUCGUCGUUCCUUGGAGUCCUCAUCUCCGUUGAAUUCACAUUCCGCCGCCGCCGUCCUCGUCGCCGCGAGAUCUACGUCGUCUGGCGCGGCCCCUCCCGCCACCGCCGUACUCCAGUUUACCGCGCAGCUAUUGGGCGGAGGAGAGAAAGAAAUGGGGAGGGAGAGAGAGAGCGUGCAGAGAGGGAGAGAGGAGAGAAUGAGAGAGGCUAGGGUUAGGUGUGAGAAUUUGACAAUUUAUAUAGAGGGG